This 370-nucleotide ribosomal RNA is filed under the name uncultured bacterium. RNAcentral describes it as "bacterial SSU rRNA". It matches the Rfam family "Bacterial small subunit ribosomal RNA", at positions 917 to 1289 of the family's 1533-position model. The record is from RNAcentral.
GGGCCCGCACAAGCGGUGGAGUAUGUGGUUUAAUUCGAUGAUACGCGAGGAACCUUACCAGGGCUUAAAUGGAAAAUGACAGGGGCAGAGACGCCCCCUUCUUCGGACAUUUUUCAAGGUGCUGCAUGGUUGUCGUCAGCUCGUGCCGUGAGGUGUCAGGUUAAGUCCUAUAACGAGCGCAACCCCCUACCGUUAGUUGCCAGCGAGUAAUGUCGGGGACUCUAACGGAACUGCCGGUGCAAACCGUGAGGAAGGUGGGGACGACGUCAAAUCAUCACGGCCCUUACGUCCUGGGCCACACACGUGCUACAAUGCUACGGACAAAGGGCAGCAAGUUCGCGAGGACAAGCAAAUCCAUAAACCGUGGCUC